RNAcentral lists this ribosomal RNA (505 nucleotides) under uncultured bacterium. RNAcentral's name for it is "partial 16S ribosomal RNA". It matches the Rfam family "Bacterial small subunit ribosomal RNA", at positions 28 to 507 of the family's 1533-position model. The record is from RNAcentral.
GACGAACGCUGGCGGCAUGCCUAACACAUGCAAGUCGAACGCAACCUUCAUGUCGUAGCUCGCUCCGCUACAGAACGCGUGUUACCAAGCGGUGAGUUACGCGUAGGUAACCUGCAUGGUAUCGUGGGACCACUUAAUGUCUCGGUAGCUAAUACCGCUUACUAUUAGUUAUUCCAUGGUUAUUUAUUCUAAUGUGUAAUUGCACAACCAACCGAUGGAACUAUGUUGUAUUAGCUAGUAAGUGAGGUAACUGCCCACCUAGGCGACGAAACAUAGCCGACCUGAGAGGGUGAUCGGCCACACUGGGACGGAGACACGGCCCAGACUCCUACGAGAGGCAGCAGUAGGGAAUCUUCGGCAAUGGACGAAAGUCUGACCGAGCAACGCCGCGUGAGUGAAGAAUGUUGUCGGAUCGUAAAGGUCUGUUGUAAGAGAAGAUCGGGUGGGAGAGUGGAAAGUUCACACUGUGACGGUAUCUGACCAGAAAGGGACGGCUAACUACGUG